UUCGACGAUCGGCUCUGUCAGGCAUGAUGACGCUAUUAGAACUAUUUAGAAACCAAAUUUCAUAAUUUUUUUAUUACGUUUGCCUAGUGAACGAGUGGCCUCAAAUGAACGGCUAAAAAUAAAAAUCUCAUAAAAAAUAAUGAUAAAAGAAUCAAAUUUCAAAUCGAAAGUAUUGUUCUUACUCCUGAUGUUAAGUAGAAUUUUCUAUUAAAGUUUCAUAUAAUUUGGAUUCUUCUACACUGUUGAACUUACAAAUUAACGUGCCACAUCGGCCAUUAAAAUAGUCAAUUUUGAGACUCUUUGAUCACUUCGUAAACGAUGUCGAAAAAUUAUAAAAUUUGAUUUCUAAAGUGAAAAACCGUUGAACCACAUGGGUGGGAUUUGAAGUCUUCCCUUUAAAUAAAACUAGUUAAGGGAUCUGCGCGAUGAUGCGGGUAGUUAUUUUAAAAUUUAAUUUUAAAAAUUAGUUAUAAAAAUUAAUUUCAGAAUUUAAAUGGUGUAAUAAGUACAUUAAAAAGUUUUAGUAAGCAUAGUAGUCUCCCAUUAGUUAGUGAAAUAAUUUUAGUAGGUAUCGUAGUCCCCCAGUAGUUAGUAAAUGAGAAGAGAAAUCAUGCUGCGGUUAGUUAUUUUAAAAUUUAAUUUUGAAAAUUAGUUAUAAAAAUUAAUUUCAGAAUAAUUAUGAAAUAUUACGGACACGCCGUGCCGCGCCGCCCCCCAGACGCGCCUCGGCUUUUUUUUUAGCGCCGAGAACCACCACCACCGGACCACCCAACGUGCCCCAGGUGCUCCUGUUUCACCGGAGCACCUGGUAUACUCUCCCUCCAGGUGCCACCUGGAAGGAGAGUAAGAGAGAGAGAGAGAGAGAUAUCUAUAUAUAUAUAUAUUAAAAUAAAUAUAUUAUAUAUAUAUUAAAUAAAUAUUUAUAUAUAAAUACAUAAUAUAUAUCAUAAAAUAUAUAUACAUUUAUAUUUUAAAAUAAAUAUUUAUAUAUAAAUAAAUAAAUAUAUCAUAAAAUAAAAAUAUAUCUAUAUAAUAAUAUAUUAUUAAAUAAUAUAUUAAAUGAUAAAUAAAAAUAUUUUACAUUUGAUAUAUUUAUUUACAAUUUAUUAAAUCUGAUAACCAUAAUCUAUAUGAAUAACGUAAUGCUAUGGAUGAUUUUUAAUAAAGUGAUUGAUGACCCCCUGAUGCUAUGGAUGAUUUUUAAUAAAGAAUAAUGUAAUCCUUUCUAUUGACGUAAAUAAAUUUUAAUAAAGCAUNAAAGAUAUGAGGUUAGAGUGUAAAGAAAAAUAAUAUCAACUAGCGACGGGUAGGGAGAAAGAAAGAAAUUAGACAUAUUAUGAUUACAUCAAUCCAUUCAUAUGAGAAUACCCACGCUCUCCCAAGGGAAUGAGGUUAAUUAGUACUUUGGGAUGAAUCUCAAUCCCAAGUAAAUCUAAUAUUACCAACUAGAUUACUUAGUGCGUUUAAUCAAACACCGUCAUAUUUUUUUAUUCCUAUUGAAUUACUAGAAAUCUUAAAAAGAUAGCGCGAACCAAACACACCCUUAAGUUUAAUAAAAUGUAUUGUAUUGCACUAUACAUUCUAAAACUCUAUUAGCUGAAUUAUAUUGUGCUAGACAUGGUUUAUCAUGAUCCAAUGCUUUAUCAUGAACCGAACAUCUCCCAUGGGAGUCACCAUACGGUUUCUAGCUUCGAAAGAAGUAAUCCAAACAUUUACAUCUGUGAAACCCCAACGAAGUUUUUUUGAAGAAUCCAAGUAGCGCCACACUAAUCCAUAGGAUAUAUUAUUUCUGGGAGGUUCCUGGGCAGGAUGGUAUCCAUCAAACUUUUAAAGUUUCGGCAAAACCAUUUAUAUGUAAUUCUUCAAUGUUUUCAUCUCAUUCAUCUUUUUUUAAUUGUUUAUUUACAGCGCAUGUUACGUAGCUUAAACUGAGACAAAACCGCAAGCAUGCAUAACAGGUAAAGACUUUUUUUAAUAAUAUAUAUAUAUAUAGAGAGAGAGAGGGUUGGGCUUUUGUGCUUUCGAAAGCACGAAAGCCUCCGUGCUUGCAAGUUCUUUUCAAUUAUAGAACAUCGGAUUCGACGAUCGGCUCUGUCAGGCAUGAUGACGCUAUUAGAACUAUUUAGAAACCAAAUUUCAUAAUUUUUUUAUUACGUUUGCCUAGUGAACGAGUGGCCUCAAAUGAACGGCUAAAAAUAAAAAUCUCAUAAAAAAUAAUGAUAAAAGACUCAAAUUUCAAAUCGGAAGUAUUGUUCUUACUCUUGAUGUUAAGUAGAAUUUUCUAUUAAAAUUUCAUGUAAUUUGGAUACUUCUACACUGCUAAACUUAAAAAUGUGCUACAUCGGCCGUUAAAAUAGUCAUUUUUUGAGACCCUUUGAUCGCCUGGUAAAUGAUAUUGAAAAAUUAUUAAAAUUUGAUUCUUAAAGUAAAAAACCGUUGAACCACAUGGUGGGAUUUGAAGUCUUCCCUUUAAAUAAAACUAGUUAAGGGAUCUGCGAGCGGAAUCGGGGUAGUUAUUUAAAAAUUAAUUUAAAAAUUAGUUAUAAAAAUAAUUUCAGAAUUAAAUGGUGUAAUAAGUACAUUAAAAGUUUUAGUAAGCAUAGGUAGUCUCCAAUUAGUUAGUGAAAUAAUUUAGUAGUAUCGUAGUCCCUGAGUAUGUUAGUAAAUGAAAGAGAAAUCAUGCUGCGGUUAGUUAUUUUAAAAUUUAAUUUGAAAAUUAGUUAUAAAAUUAAUUUCAGAAUAAUAUGAAAUAUUACGGAUACGAAAUAAUUUAAAUAAAUGCA
This 2783-nucleotide long non-coding RNA is filed under the name Ananas comosus (pineapple). RNAcentral describes it as "long non-coding RNA (ACOM_LNC001989)". The record is from RNAcentral. Lineage: Eukaryota; Viridiplantae; Streptophyta; Magnoliopsida; Poales; Bromeliaceae.